AAGUUUAGGCUACAUACUAAACCGAGGGCCUUCAAAGCCCAAAACAGAGAUUCCCACUCUAACUUCU
Molecule: transfer RNA, 67 nt
Filed under: Pseudogekko compresicorpus (Philippine false gecko)
Lineage: Eukaryota; Metazoa; Chordata; Lepidosauria; Squamata; Gekkonidae
Description: tRNA-Trp
Source: RNAcentral